This 253-nucleotide ribosomal RNA is filed under the name uncultured bacterium. RNAcentral describes it as "partial 16S ribosomal RNA". It matches the Rfam family "Bacterial small subunit ribosomal RNA", at positions 524 to 776 of the family's 1533-position model. The record is from RNAcentral.
UACAGAGGGUGCGAGCGUUGUCCGGAAUCACUGGGCGUAAAGGGCGCGUAGGCGGUCUGGUAAGCGUGUGGUGAAAGCUCGGGGCUCAACCCCGAGUCGGCCGUGCGAACUGCGAGACUGGAGCAGAUCAGAGGCAGGCGGAAUUCCGGGUGUAGCGGUGGAAUGCGCAGAUAUCAGGAGGAACACCUAUUGCGAAGGCAGCUCGCUGGGACGUAACUGACGCUGAGACGCGAAAGCGUGGGGAGCAAACAGG